GAUGAACGCUGGCGGCGUGCCUAAUACAUGCAAGUCGAGCGAACAGACGAGGCGCUUGCUCCUCUGACGUUAGCGGCGGACGGGUGAGUAACGCGUGGAUACCCUACCUAUCAGACUGGGAUCACUUCGGGACACCGGAGCUAAUACCGGAUAAUAUAUUGAACCGCAUGGUUCAAUAGUGAAAGACGGUUUUGCUGUCACUUAUAGAUGGAUCCGCGCCGCAUUAGCUAGUUGGUAAGGUAACGGCUUACCAAGGCAACGAUGCGUAUCCGACCUGAGAGGGUGAUCGGCCACACUGGAACUGAGACGCGGUCAAGACUCCUACGAGAGGCAGCAGUAGGGAAUCGUCCGCAAUGGGCGAAAGCUUGGCGGAGCAACGCCGCGUGAGUGAUGAAGGUCCUCGGAUCGUAAAACUCUGUUAUUAGGGAAGAACAACUGUGGAAGGAACUAUGGACGGCUUGACGGUACCUAAUCAGAAAGCCACGGCUAACUACGUG
Molecule: ribosomal RNA, 497 nt
Filed under: uncultured bacterium
Lineage: Bacteria
Description: partial 16S ribosomal RNA
Rfam family: Bacterial small subunit ribosomal RNA
Source: RNAcentral